GGAAUAUUGGGCAAUGGGCGAAAGCCUGACCCAGCAACGCCGCGUGAAGGAAGAAGGUUUUCGGAUCGUAAACUUCUGUCCUUGGUGAAGAUAAUGACGGUAGCCAAGGAGGAAGCCCCGGCUAACUACGUGCCAGCAGCCGCGGUAAUACGUAGGGGGCGAGCGUUGUCCGGAAUGAUUGGGCGUAAAGGGCGCGUAGGCGGCCUGUUAAGUCUGGAGUGAAAGUCCUGUUUUCAAGAUGGGAAUUGCUUUGGAUACUGAUGGGCUUGAGUGCCGGACAGGUUAUCGGAAUUCCCGGUGUAGCGGUGAAAUGCGUAGAGAUCGGGAGGAACACCAGUGGGGAAGGCGGGUAACUGGAGUGCAACUGACGCUGAGGCGCGAAAGUGUGGGGAGCAAACA
This 399-nucleotide ribosomal RNA is filed under the name uncultured bacterium. Its description in RNAcentral is "bacterial SSU rRNA". It matches the Rfam family "Bacterial small subunit ribosomal RNA", at positions 358 to 774 of the family's 1533-position model. The record is from RNAcentral.